RNAcentral lists this ribosomal RNA (253 nucleotides) under uncultured bacterium. RNAcentral's name for it is "partial 16S ribosomal RNA". It matches the Rfam family "Bacterial small subunit ribosomal RNA", at positions 524 to 776 of the family's 1533-position model. The record is from RNAcentral.
GACAGAGGGUGCGAACGUUGUUCGGAAUUACUGGGCGUAAAGGGCGCGUAGGCGGCCUGCUAAGUCGAACGUGAAAUCCCUGGGCUCAACCCAGGAACUGCGUCCGAUACUGGUUGGCUUGAAUCCGGGAGAGGGAUGUGGAAUUCCAGGUGUAGCGGUGAAAUGCGUAGAUAUCUGGAGGAACACCGGUGGCGAAGGCGACAUCCUGGACCGGUAUUGACGCUGAGGCGCGAAAGCCAGGGGAGCAAACGGG